AGCGAACGCUGGCGGCAGGCCUAACACAUGCAAGUCGAACGGAUCCUUCGGGAUUAGUGGCGGACGGGUGAGUAACACGUGGGAACGUGCCCUUUGGUUCGGAACAACUCAGGGAAACUUGAGCUAAUACCGGAUGUGCCCUUCGGGGGAAAGAUUUAUCGCCAUUGGAGCGGCCCGCGUCUGAUUAGCUAGUUGGUGAGGUAACGGCCCACCAAGGCGACGAUCAUUAGCUGGUCUGAGAGGAUGAUCAGCCACACUGGGACUGAGACACGGCCCAGACUCCUACGGGAGGCAGCAGUGGGGGAUCUUGCGCAAUGGGCGAAAGCCUGACGCAGCCAUGCCGCGUGAAUGAUGAAGGUCUUAGGAUUGUAAAAUUCUUUCAGCGGGGACGAUAAUGACGGUACCCGCAGAAGAAGCUCCGGCUAACUUCGUG
Molecule: ribosomal RNA, 433 nt
Filed under: uncultured bacterium
Lineage: Bacteria
Description: partial 16S ribosomal RNA
Rfam family: Bacterial small subunit ribosomal RNA
Source: RNAcentral